Molecule: long non-coding RNA, 376 nt
Organism: Asparagus officinalis (garden asparagus)
Lineage: Eukaryota; Viridiplantae; Streptophyta; Magnoliopsida; Asparagales; Asparagaceae
Exons: 4
Source: RefSeq, a predicted model, not a curated record
AGAUGAGGAGGGCGAGGAGGCUCUUUGGCCCAGAGGGUGAUCGAUCACGGAGUAUCACCCCAGGUACGGGUGCUAAUGAUACACUACCAUCUCCGGAUGCAGAUGCGGGUUAUUCAUCACCCGUCCCGUCUGAUGCAGCACUAGAACUAUCCCCCGAUGCAGCCAAGAGGAAUGAGGGCGAUAAUUCGGAUGAAUAGUUCUAAUUUGUUCGUUGGUCCUUGCUCGACCUAAUUGAAUGCAUAUAUUAGGGUUCUUGUGCAUAGAGCGAACAUUAUCAACCCUUAUUUUCAUUUCCGAGAACUACCAUGGACCGCAUACGAGGCGAUAUGGACUGAGCUUAUGACUGCUUCUGCCUUGAGGACUUUGAGGGGGCUUG